RNAcentral lists this ribosomal RNA (205 nucleotides) under uncultured bacterium. Its description in RNAcentral is "partial 16S ribosomal RNA". It matches the Rfam family "Bacterial small subunit ribosomal RNA", at positions 1286 to 1500 of the family's 1533-position model. The record is from RNAcentral.
UCCCAGUUCGGAUUGUAGUCUGCAACCCGACUACAUGAAGCUGGAAUCGCUAGUAAUCGCGGAUCAGAAUGCCGCGGUGAAUACGUUCCCGGGUCUUGUACACACCGCCCGUCACACCAUGGAAGUUGGGGGUGCCCAAAGCCGGCAAGCAAAUAUGCUGUCUAAGGCAAAACCAAUGACUGGGGUGAAGUCGUAACAAGGUAAC